GACGAACCGAGCGAACGUUGUUCGGAAUCACUGGGCUUAAAGGGCGCGUAGGCGGGCGGCCGCGUCCGGGGUGAAAUCCUCCCGCUUCACGGGAGAACGGCCUCGGAUACGGGCGGCCUCGAGGGGGGUAGGGGCGUGCGGAACUGUGGGUGGAGCGGUGAAAUGCGUUGAGAUCCACAGGAACUCCGGUGGCGAAGGCGGCACGCUGGACCCCACCUGACGCUGAGGCGCGAAAGCCAGGGGAGCGAACAGG
This 253-nucleotide ribosomal RNA is filed under the name uncultured bacterium. Its description in RNAcentral is "partial 16S ribosomal RNA". It matches the Rfam family "Bacterial small subunit ribosomal RNA", at positions 524 to 776 of the family's 1533-position model. The record is from RNAcentral.